UUGGGCCAUUAUUUGAGUUCCUAUGCUCAAAUGGGGGUGUUGCGUCUUCUCAAAACCCUGGAGAUAGGCAACUGGAACCAAAUUGCACAUGCUUAGAAGAUGGGGGAAGAAGUCCUCUCACCUCUGUCAACCUUUGGUGACCUCUGGUUUCCUUGGCACGGCCGUGUCACCCCAAACUCCUCCUUGGCUUUGUCACCUCCUCCUCUUCCACCAUGAUCCUCUCUCCUUCCAUCUUUCUUUAUGACACUAGUGAUGACAUGGGGGGUCCUUUGAAAGAUCCUAGACAAUCUACUACUUCAAGAUCCUCAACUCAGCCACCUUGAUAAAACCCGAUGGGAAGUAAGAAUUAGGCCCCGGGUGUCUUUGGGGCCAUUACUCAGCCUAUCUCAGGCAAGGACACAGGCAACCGGGUUGGUGCUGGAUUUCCCUCCCUAGAGGAGGAGGCCAGAACAAGAUGAGAAGAUCCAGAGUAGAGACAACAUCAUCACUGGAAUUAACUGGAAGUCAUCCUGAGACGAGGUGAAUAGGAUCAGAUGGGUAUCAAAGGGUUCCCUUCCUAAGAGAAGGCUCCCACCAGUCUGGGAAUACCUAUCAACCACCUGUAUAAAAAUACCCCUACCGCCAAAUCAGCUUCCUGGCAAGAUGGACUCUUGGGAAUCCUCCAUAUUCCAGUCUAGUUGGAUUUUGAAUAAAACCACCUUCCUUCCUCAA
This is a long non-coding RNA of Myodes glareolus (Bank vole), 711 nucleotides long. RefSeq lists it as uncharacterized. Lineage: Eukaryota; Metazoa; Chordata; Mammalia; Rodentia; Cricetidae. The record is from RefSeq and is a predicted model, not a curated record.